RNAcentral lists this ribosomal RNA (584 nucleotides) under uncultured bacterium. RNAcentral's name for it is "partial 16S ribosomal RNA". It matches the Rfam family "Bacterial small subunit ribosomal RNA", at positions 355 to 1375 of the family's 1533-position model. The record is from RNAcentral.
UGGGGAAUUUUGGACAAUGGGCGAAAGCCUGAUCCAGCAAUGCCGCGUGUGUGAAGAAGGCCUUCGGGUUGUAAAGCACUUUUGUCCGGAAAGAAAUCCUUGGCUCUAAUACAGUCGGGGGAUGACGGUACCGGAAGAAUAAGCACCGGCUAACUACGUGCCAGCAGCCGCGGUAAUACGUAGGGUGCAAGCGUUAAUCGGAAUUACUGGGCGUAAAGCGUGCGCAGGCGGUUUGCUAAGACCGAUGUGAAAUCCCCGGGCUCAACCUGGGAACUGCAUUGGUGACUGGCAGGCUAGAGUAUGGCAGAGGGGGUAGAAUUCCACGUGUAGCAGUGAAAUGCGUAGAGAUGUGGAGGAAUACCGAUGGCGAAGGCAGCCCCCUGGGCCAAUACUGACGCUCAUGCACGAAAGCGUGGGGAGCAAACAGGAUUAGAUACCCUGGUAGUCCACGCCCUAAACGAUGUCAACUAGUUGCCGGGUCUUCAUUGACUUGGUAACGUAGCUAACGCGUGAAGUUGACCGCCUGGGGAGUACGGUCGCAAGAUUAAAACUUAAAUGAAUUGACGGGGUCAUAGCUGUUUCCU